Molecule: ribosomal RNA, 463 nt
Filed under: Lygodactylus bernardi (FitzSimons' dwarf gecko)
Lineage: Eukaryota; Metazoa; Chordata; Lepidosauria; Squamata; Gekkonidae
Description: partial large subunit ribosomal RNA
Rfam family: Bacterial large subunit ribosomal RNA
Source: RNAcentral
AGGUCCAACCUGCCCAGUGAAAACUUAAACGGCCGCGGUAUCCUAACCGUGCAAAGGUAGCGCAAUCACUUGCCCCUUAAAUGAGGGCUAGUAUGAACGGUUUAAUGAGGGUCUAACUGUCUCCUGAGACUAAUCAAUGAACUUGAUAAUUCAGUACAAACGCUGAAAUAUAAACAUAAGACGAGAAGACCCUGUGGAACUUCAAAUUUCACUGUUGAAUACCUGAUAACUUAAAGGCUACCUCAACAUAAAAUUUAAGUUGGGGCAACUGCGGGGCAAAACAAAACCCCCAUGGAAAAUAACUAAUAGUUAUACCACUAGGCCCACACGCCACACAUCAUUGUUCGACCCAGUCCUACUGACCACCGAACCAAGCUACCCCAGGGAUAACAGCGCUAUCCCCUUCAAGAGUCCAUAUCGCCAAGGGGGUUUACGACCUCGAUGUUGGAUCAGGACAUCCCGG